RNAcentral lists this ribosomal RNA (473 nucleotides) under uncultured bacterium. RNAcentral's name for it is "bacterial SSU rRNA". It matches the Rfam family "Bacterial small subunit ribosomal RNA", at positions 335 to 799 of the family's 1533-position model. The record is from RNAcentral.
ACUCCUACGGGAGGCAGCAGUGGGGAAUAUUGCACAAUGGGCGCAAGCCUGAUGCAGCCAUGCCGCGUGUGUGAAGAAGGCCUUCGGGUUGUAAAGCACUUUCAGUCGUGAGGAAGGUAGUGUAGUUAAUAGCUGCAUUAUUUGACGUUAGCGACAGAAGAAGCACCGGCUAACUCCGUGCCAGCAGCCGCGGUAAUACGGAGGGUGCGAGCGUUAAUCGGAAUUACUGGGCGUAAAGCGCAUGCAGGUGGUUUGUUAAGUCAGAUGUGAAAGCCCGGGGCUCAACCUCGGAAUAGCAUUUGAAACUGGCAGACUAGAGUACUGUAGAGGGGGGUAGAAUUUCAGGUGUAGCGGUGAAAUGCGUAGAGAUCUGAAGGAAUACCGGUGGCGAAGGCGGCCCCCUGGACAGAUACUGACACUCAGAUGCGAAAGCGUGGGGAGCAAACAGGAUUAGAUACCCUGGUAGGAUAGAG